GGGAUUGUAGUUCAAUUUGUCAAAGCACUGCCCUGUCAAGGUGAAAGCUGUGGGUUCGAGCCUCGUCAGUCCCG
Molecule: non-coding RNA, 74 nt
Organism: Rhododendron molle
Lineage: Eukaryota; Viridiplantae; Streptophyta; Magnoliopsida; Ericales; Ericaceae
Source: the annotation of a GenBank genome assembly